Long non-coding RNA from Plodia interpunctella (Indianmeal moth), 1582 nucleotides. RefSeq lists it as uncharacterized. The transcript is spliced from 2 exons. Lineage: Eukaryota; Metazoa; Arthropoda; Insecta; Lepidoptera; Pyralidae. The record is from RefSeq and is a predicted model, not a curated record.
ACACCUACCAUGUAACACCAUUUUAUUGUUACUUGUAAAAAGUACAAUUUGUUUAUAUUUACGCAUGUACCUACCCACAGAUGUGUAUAAUAACAGUUCUAUAAUAGGUUUUAUUGUUUUUUAAUAACUUCAUUGGGAUGGAAAGUACAAAGUACUAAUUUUCCAACCAUAAGUGGUGUGGAAAUAUAUUUAUUCUGGCAAAUAUGGAAUUGUAUAAACUACCAAUGACUGCUUUAGGACAAAUGUCUUAUGUUAGCUAUUCCUCACAUAAUUAUCAAUUAUAAUUUAAUGAAUACUGGUCUUAUUUAAUUAAGAUUAUCAUAAACAUUGUCUGACAGUCACUAGCUAUCAUUGUUUAGGCAUGUAAGGGGAAGGGAAGAGAAUGCUUGUCUCAAAAAAAGGUUAUGAGUGUGUAUGGAUGGAGAAGAAGAUCAAAGAAAAGAUUGAAAGAGAACAUAGGUAUGAUAUGAAAGUUUUAAAAGGCAAUUAAGGUAUGACAGGAAACAGUAGUGGAAGGAAAAGACAUUAUGCGCCAACAUAAAGUGGGUUUAGGUAACUAACAAAAUGAAGAAACAAUGUCUGACACAAUGGAUAGAUAUUGGAAAGUGAUUUGUCAGAAAUUCAAGUACCUAGUAUAAAUUUUUGGAUACAAAUUUUUCAACUGGACCCAUAAUGGAUAAAGAUAUUGUCAUAUACUGUAUUUGAGGGUACUUGAAAAUAUCCAGUCUGGUUUUAUGUCAGGCAAACACGGUAAAAAUACAUGUUCAAUACAUGUUCGGAUAACAUGUCAAUUUGUUAUGUUUUUUAUUGUGGUGGGUAGGUACUAUUAGUAAAUUUUUGUAUUAGCUUCAGGAGCAUGUGUGAUUUAAAAGUUCCCAGUAGAAGGAGCAAACCUAAAGAGUUUUGGCUUGCCAUUGUCAAGGAGAUUAUAUGGGCCAAUGGCCAUUUAGUUAGCCAAAAACUGAGGAUGCAAAGUGAAGAAGAAAAUGUUCAUUGGGAGCAAUGAGUGGUAUUAUGUUUUGUAGAUUUCUGAUGUAGACAAUAUGGUACAUUGUAGAAUCUACCAUAUUAUGAAUCGACUUUAAAACAUCUAUAUUUUAAUGUUCUGGUCAUUGAAAAAUGUACCACAGAAAGUCAAACUUACUGUAUGGUAAGGUAAUAUUGCCUUGUGAUGCACUGCCAUUCAAAAAGACAAAAAUGUGAAAAGAAAAACCUGCAGAAUCGAACAAUCCAAAAUCAAUUGCAAACCACUGCAACGUUAUAUUGAUGGCAUCUACCUAAUGAUUUACUGUGGAAAAUUAUGAUAUACUGCAAAAAUACGAAACUGAUUCCAGAUGGACUAUAUAAAGAAAAACAGGACAUUUUUGCAAAUCAUUUAGCUGACCUUUUUGGACCACACAUAGGUAGAAGAUGGCGAGCCCAAAAAUGAAAUUGAACUUGAACUAAAUUAAGACAUCCAGCAAUCUCUGCUUCCUAAACAAGAAUGAACAUAAUAUAAUCUUCACAAAUCCAAUUUUUCUCCCUAACUAGAUCCCACAGUUGUGCUGUAAAAGUAGCCAUCUAGUAUUUGAAAUGAAACCGA